RNAcentral lists this ribosomal RNA (467 nucleotides) under uncultured bacterium. Its description in RNAcentral is "partial 16S ribosomal RNA". It matches the Rfam family "Bacterial small subunit ribosomal RNA", at positions 28 to 507 of the family's 1533-position model. The record is from RNAcentral.
GACGAACGCUGGCGGCGUGCUUAACACAUGCGAGUCGAACGGAAAGGCUCCAGCUUGCUGGAGUACUCGAGUGGCGAACGGGUGAGUAACACGUGGGUGAUCUGCCCUGCACUUCGGGAUAAGCCUGGGAAACUGGGUCUAAUACCGGAUAGGACCGCACUUUGGUGUGUGUGGUGGAAAGGUUUUUCUGGUGUGGGAUGAGCUCGCGGCCUAUCAGUUUGUUGGUGGGGUAAUGGCCUACCAAGACGGCGACGGGUAGCCGGCCUGAGAGGGUGGACGGCGAAAUUGGAACUGGGAAAGGGCCAGGACCCCAAGGGGAGGCAGCGGGGGGGAGUAUUGAACAAUGGGGGGAAGCCGGAGGCAGGGAGGCGGGGUGGGGGUUGAGGGCAUCGGGGUUGGAAACCCCUUCGGGUAGGACGAAGCGGUUUGUGACGGUACCUGGAGAAGAAGCACCGGCUAACUACGUG